This 112-nucleotide microRNA precursor is filed under the name Dipodomys ordii (Ord's kangaroo rat). Its description in RNAcentral is "miRNA (ENSDORG00000029877.1)". Lineage: Eukaryota; Metazoa; Chordata; Mammalia; Rodentia; Heteromyidae. The record is from RNAcentral.
UUUCCUGUUGAGUCAUUGUCAAUGUCAUAUUCUUAACUACAGGGAAGUUUUUCAUUGUGUAUGGGUGUGUGUAUGCAAGCACAUGAGUGUGUGCAUGUAUCUGUGUCUGUUU